RNAcentral lists this ribosomal RNA (2884 nucleotides) under human gut metagenome. Its description in RNAcentral is "bacterial LSU rRNA". It matches the Rfam family "Bacterial large subunit ribosomal RNA". The record is from RNAcentral.
UCAAGCUACAAAGAGCGCAAGGGGAAUGCCUUGGCACUGGGAGCCGACGAAGGACGUAGCGAUCUACGAUAAGCCACGGUGAGCCGAAAGCAGGCAUCGACCCGUGGAUUUCCGAAUGGGGCAACCUGGCUGAAUAGAACUCAGUCAACAUACGGUGAAUAAAAUAGUCGUAUGUAGGGAACCGCCUGAACUGAAACAUCUAAGUAGGGCGAGGAAAAGAAAUCAACCGAGAUUCCGCAAGUAGUGGCGAGCGAACGCGGAAGAGGCCAAACCGAGAGUAGUAAUACUUUCGGGGUUCGGACAGAAUACGGCAUUGUAAAGGUUUAGUGGAAUGGAAUGGGAAGUCCAACCGAAGAAGGUGAGAGUCCUGUACACGAAAAGCCUGAACAGCCAUCUGUAUCCAGAGUACCGCCGGACACGUGAAACCCGGUGGGAAUAUGGGGGGACCAUCCUCCAAGCCUAAAUACUACUCGGUGACCGAUAGUGAAGAAGUACUGUGAAGGAAAGGUGAAAAGUACCCCUGACGGGGAGUGAAAAAGAACCUGAAACCUUGUGUUUACAAGCACCGAAAGCUCAUCAAAGAGCGAUCGGGUACCUUUUGUAGAAUGGUCCGGCGAGUGAAUGUAACCGGCGAGGUUAAGCACUUAAGGUGUGAAGCCGCAGCGAGAGCAAGUCUGAAUAGGGCGUAUGAAGUCGGUUGUAUUCGACCCGAAACCGGGUGACCUACCCAUGGUCAGGUUGAAGUAAAGGUAAAACUUUAUGGAGGACCGAACCGACUCCCGUUGAAAUGGUAGCGGAUGAACUGUGGGUAGCGGAGAAAUUCCAAUCGAACCCGGAGAUAGCUGGUUCUCUCCGAAAUAGCUUUAGGGCUAGCCUUGAAAUAGAUUACCGGAGGUAAAGCACUGAAUUGGCUAGGGGCCGAGAGGUUACUGAACCUUAUCAAACUAAGAAUGCCGGAUAAUCGUUUUUCAGGAGUCAGACAGUGGGAGAUAAGUUUCAUUGUCAAAAGGGAAACAGCCCAGACCCACAGCUAAGGUCCCCAAGUAUAGUUAAGUGGAAAAGGAUGUGGAAUUGCACAGACAACCAGGAUGUUGGCUUAGAAGCAGCCACUCAUUUAAAGAGUGCGUAAUAGCUCACUGGUCGAGUGAUUCUGCGCCGAAAAUUUCCGGGGCUAAAACUUACUACCGAAGCUACGGCAUCAUUAUGAUGGGUAGGGGAGCUUUCUAUGCGGCUUGAAGCAUGACCGUAAGGACAUGUGGACUGCAUAGAAGUGAGAAUGUUGGCAUGAGUAGCGAGAUGUGGGUGAGAAUCCCACAGGCCGUAAACCCAAGGUUUCCAGGGGAAGGUUCGUCCGCCCUGGGUUAGUCAGGACCUAAGCCGAGGCCGAAAGGCGUAGGUGAUGGACAACAGGUUGAUAUUCCUGUACCACCAAUAACCGUUUGAGAAAUGGGAUGACACAGUAGGAUAAGCUAACCGCACUGUUGGUUAUGUGCGGGCAAGUAUUGAGGCAGUUCCGAUAGGCAAAUCCGUCGGAAUAAUGCUGGGGUACGAUGCGGAGCGAAAUUUAGUAGCGAAGUAGCUGAUUUCACACUGUCGAGAAAAGUCUCUAUCGAGGUUAAAGGUGCCUGUACCGCAAACCGACACAGGUGGGUGAGGAGAGUAUCCUAAGGCCAGCGAGAGAACUGUUGUUAAGGAACUCGGCAAAAUGACCCCGUAACUUAGGGAGAAGGGGUGCCUUCGAAAGAAGGCCGCAGAGAAUAGGCCCAAGCGACUGUUUACCAAAAACAUAGGUUUCUGCUAAGUCGCAAGACGAUGUAUAGGAGCUGACGCCUGCCCGGUGCUGGAAGGUUAAGGGGAUCUGUUAGAGCAAUCGAAGCAGUGAACUUAAGCCCCAGUAAACGGCGGCCGUAACUAUAACGGUCCUAAGGUAGCGAAAUUCCUUGUCGGGUAAGUUCCGACCCGCACGAAAGGCGUAACGAUUUGGGCACUGUCUCAACAACAGACUCGGUGAAAUUGUAAUACCGGUGAAGAUGCCGGUUACCUGCGACAGGACGGAAAGACCCCAUGGAGCUUUACUGUAGCUUGACAUUGAGUCUCGGUGCUACAUGUACAGGAUAGGUGGGAGACUAUGAAGCAUGGACGUCAGUCUGUGUGGAGUCAUCCUUGGGAUACCACCCUUGUAGUACUGGGAUUCUAACCAGAGGCCAUGAAUCUGGUCUUGGGACACUGUCAGGUGGACAGUUUGACUGGGGCGGUCGCCUCCCAAAAAGUAACGGAGGCGCUCAAAGGUUCUCUCAGUACGGUCGGAAAUCGUACGAAGAGUGUAAAGGCAAAAGAGAGCUUGAUUGCAAGACAUACAGGUCGAGCAAGGACGAAAGUCGGACUUAGUGAUCCGGUGGUACCGCAUGGAAGGGCCAUCGCUCAACGGAUAAAAGCUACCCUGGGGAUAACAGGCUGAUCUCCCCCAAGAGUCCACAUCGACGGGGAGGUUUGGCACCUCGAUGUCGGCUCAUCACAUCCUGGGGCUGUAUUCGGUCCCAAGGGUUCGGCUGUUCGCCGAUUAAAGUGGUACGCGAGCUGGGUUCAGAACGUCGUGAGACAGUUCGGUCCCUAUCCGUCGCAGGCGUAGGAAAUUUGAGGAGACCUGUCCUUAGUACGAGAGGACCGGGAUGGACGUACCGCUGGUGUACCAGUUGUUCUGCCAAGGGCAUGGCUGGGUAGCUAAGUACGGAAAGGAUAAGCGCUGAAAGCAUCUAAGCGCGAAGCCAUCCCCAAGAUAAGUCUUCCCUUGAGGGGCGUAGGAGACUACUACGUUGAUAGGCUGCAGGUGUAAAGACAGCAAUGUCAAAGCCGAGCAGUACUAAUUACCCGAUAGGCUUUCUUU